AACGAACGCUGGCGGCGUGCCUGAACACAUGCAAAGUCGAGCGUGAAAGUUCCUUCGGGGAUGAGUAAAGCGGCAGACGGGGUGAGUAAUACAUAGGUAAUCUACCUUCGAGCUUGGGAUAACCUCGCGAAAGUGGGGCUAAUACCGGAUAAGACCACGUGGCUUAAGCUACGCGGUAGAAGGUGGCUUGUAUUUAUACUGGCUAUCACUUGAGGAUGAGCCUAUGGCCUAUCAGCUUGUUGGCGGGGUAAAAGCCCACCAAGGCUAUGACGGGUAGUUGGUCUGAGAGGACGACCAACCACACUGGGACUGAGACACGGCCCAGACUCCUACGGGAGGCAGCAGUGGGGAAUAUUGGGCAAUGGCGCAAGCCUGACCCAGCGACGCCGCGUGGGUGAUGAAGGCCUUCGGGUUGUAAAGCCCUGUCAUGCGGAAAGAACAGUCUUACGGUUAAUACCCGUGAGAUUUGACGGUACCGCAGGAGGAAGCACCGGCUAACUCCGUGCCAGCAGCCGCGGUAA
This 521-nucleotide ribosomal RNA is filed under the name uncultured delta proteobacterium. RNAcentral describes it as "bacterial SSU rRNA". It matches the Rfam family "Bacterial small subunit ribosomal RNA", at positions 29 to 523 of the family's 1533-position model. The record is from RNAcentral. Lineage: Bacteria; Deltaproteobacteria.